Molecule: long non-coding RNA, 347 nt
Organism: Arabidopsis thaliana (thale cress)
Lineage: Eukaryota; Viridiplantae; Streptophyta; Magnoliopsida; Brassicales; Brassicaceae
Product: other RNA
Exons: 1
Source: RefSeq
AGCAUGACGUCAUUUCCCGUCGACAUUACGUAAUUCCCUGAAAUAACGCCAUUGCCGGAGUAAAAUAUAUAGUGGCGAGAUGAUAUCGCGAUUAAUUGAUCUGGAGAAAGCGAGAUCCGUUUUUCUGGGACCUCACAAGGAGACAAAGUUUGGUGACGUGUCGACUUCAGGAGCAGUGGACCACUGUUCUGUCGGCGUCGCCUUUCCAAAACAUACGCUAAUAACGACAAAACACUACUUUUUCGGUGCAUAAAAUAUCGAUUAUACCCUUCGCUCUUCAUUUUAUUUACUGGUUUAUGCCAUUGUUGUUUAGACUAAAAACGUCGACGACGAACGACGCAGUUACU